AGAGUUUGAUCCUGGCUCAGGAUGAACGCUGGCGGCGUGGAUAAGGCAUGCAAGUCGAACGGUGCAGGGUAGCAAUACUCUGCAUAGUGGCGAACGAGUUAGUAACACCUUGGUAUCUGCCUCGAAGUCGGGCACAACUAGCCGAAAGGUUAGCUAAUUCCCGAUAGUCUCGUAAGAGUAAAGUCGCAAGACGCUUUGAGAGGAGCCUAGGUCCUAUCAGCUUGUUGGCGGGGUAACGGCCCACCAAGGCUAUGACGGGUAGGGGGUGUGAGAGCACGACCCUCAACGACGAAACUGAGAUACGGUUCGUACACCUACGGGUGGCAGCAGUCGAGAAUAUUCGACAAUGGGCGAAAGCCUGAUCGAGCGACGCCGCGUGCAGGAAGAAGGGCUUCGGCCUGUAAACUGCUUUUGUGUGGGAAGAACUUUGACGGUACCACAAGAAUAAGGGGUUGCUAACCUCGUGCCAGCAGCAGCGGUAAUACGAGGACCCCGAGCGUUAUCCGGAAUUACUGGGCGUAAAACGUGAGCAUCCGGUCAUGCUAGUCCAAUGUUAAAUCUCAUUGCUCAACGAUGAGACCGCGUUGGAAACGGCACGACUAGAGCGGGUAAGAGGCAGACGGAACGUGCAGUGUAGGGGUGAAAUCCAUUGAUAUUGCACGGAACACCAAAAGCGAAAGCAGUCUGCUAGUGCUCUGCUGACGGUCAAUCACUAAAGCGUGGGGAUCAAAAGAUUAGAUACCCUAGUAGUCC
This 753-nucleotide ribosomal RNA is filed under the name uncultured bacterium. RNAcentral describes it as "bacterial SSU rRNA". It matches the Rfam family "Bacterial small subunit ribosomal RNA", at positions 8 to 796 of the family's 1533-position model. The record is from RNAcentral.